CCCAUGUUCUGACUCAUUUAUGCACUGAAUUGCUUAAUGAGUUUCUCUGUGCCUUGGUGGUCUUAUCCAAGUAAAAUGGUGGUGAUGUGGUAUAUAAUAUCUGGUUAAGUAAAUGGCCCAAGACCAUGUAAGAGACAAGUUGAAGCUGGAAUUUGAACAUAGACAAUUUAGAUUCAACAUCUGUGCUCAUAACCAACAGAAUCUAGCACAUGCUGAGCCCAUUAAGGCCCCUUAAAGAGCUUUCAGAAGACAACCUGGUCAGCCCUGGCCAGCCCUGCCAUGUGUCACUAUUUUAUUCGACAGUUCCAGCCUGGUUCUGUCACAUUGUUUCAUCACAAAAUUGGAUUGCACAGAACUCAAAUGGAGAGGACAUGCAAACUCAGGAAUGUGGAGCACUCAUCAUCUGCUGUGGUCAAGGAGACAAUCUGUGAAGAAAGUGAACAAGGCAGACGAAGAUAAGUGCAAAAACAGAGAUCCAAAAUGCUCCUAAGAGAGAAAGGAACAGGAAUCUCCCAGUUCCUGAGAGCCUCCCAGGGAGUUUUAUGCCUAUGUAAUCAGUGCAGACAGCCGUUAAGUAAAUGAAGAGGCAACUAACAAUGUCAGAAAAGAGACCGGGCGGUUCCGGCUGACACUACCCUAAUCUUCCAGGACCCAUUAAAUGGCAGUUUCAACGCAUUACCUACCAUAACAUCCUUGAAUAUCACUGAUUUUAUUUGCAGUAUCAAACAUUCCAUUUCAUGCCCCAUUAACAGUGGGAGCCUGAGCUUUUUGACGCAGCUAAACAUUUUACUAACUACCUGGACUAAGUAACCAAUUAACUUUUGGAGACAAUACGGCCAAUUAAGCGCGAAAAGCAGAAAUAUCAGUGUCCGACAAGAUAUUGCCCUGGUUAUCACUGGCUUGGACUCUUCAGAGAGAAAAACAAAUCCAUGUAUGGAGAGGUGGGCUCCAAAUUAACCCUCUGUGGUUUGGGAAGUCAUUUUCUAAAUGGCAGACAAGGUCUCAGGUGGUGAUUCUGCUAUGUGGAUUUGACUCCAGUUGACUGGAAUGGAGCACAAGUAAUGAACUUGGAUAUCACAUUUUUGAAAGCUUGAGGCAAAUUUUAUCCCUUUGGUAGACGUCUUUCAUCUUUGAAGGUACAGAAGAAAAUUUGUCCUGGAGGGCAUCUUCCACAGGCCUUGUAUAAGUGAGAAACAUGAAGCUGAUAUAGAGUCAGAAACUAAACACUGAACUCAGAUUUAUCUAUCUGUUAAACACACACACACACACACACACACACACAAUCAAACAGCUUUGUGAAAAUGCAACUGUUCUCAAUAGGAAGAGAAAUCAAGAAUUUUGAAAAGCAGGUAAAGAAUAGACUUCCAAUGAUGGUCAUUUGAAUCUGACUUUAAUACAAAAAUGUUAAUGCUUACAUAUGUAAUGUUGUCAAAUUAUUCCUAGAGCAAUACAAUUGUUUAACAUUUAUUUGAAACCUGCUCACAUACACUUAAAAUCUGAUUUGGGCCUGAAAACUCAUAAGUAAAGCAGUGAUCUAAGUUGUGCUUGAAAUUAUUAAUUUCCUGUAUUGUUUAAUGGUAGAGGUAUUUGAUCCCCAUAGAACAGCUGUUGAAUUGUCAUGGGAAAAAAAAAAUUCAUGUAUUCCAUUGCUAUGUUAGUAUUCUUGGUUCAUAACUUUUUUAUGUUGUUUCUGCCAGAUUCUGUGAUGAUGGAAAGCAGGAACAAAAAGAAUUAAUGUUAUAUACUCUCAGGUUUAGAUAUUUUUUGAAGAAUUUGAUGAGGAUUGUUACUUCCAAAGAAGAUUUGAAUAAGAAAUAGUUCUAUGUUAAUAUGGACCAAUUAAUAACAUUGAUUGAAAUUUCCUUUUGAAAUUUUUCUUGGAUUUUAAUAUCUUUUCUCAAGAGACACAGUUUUCUUUAUAGAAGUGAUUGCUGUGGGCUAUUUAU
This is a non-coding RNA of Macaca mulatta (Rhesus monkey), 1946 nucleotides long. Lineage: Eukaryota; Metazoa; Chordata; Mammalia; Primates; Cercopithecidae. The record is from RefSeq and is a predicted model, not a curated record.